Molecule: non-coding RNA, 205 nt
Organism: Oryza glaberrima (African rice)
Lineage: Eukaryota; Viridiplantae; Streptophyta; Magnoliopsida; Poales; Poaceae
Source: Rfam
AAUAAGUGCAGCCAUGAGUUUUCGCGUCCAACUUUGAUCGUCCGUCUUAUUUAAAAUUUUUUUAUAAUUAGCAAUUUUGUUGUUAUAAGAUAAUAAAAUAUGAAUAGUACUUUACUCGUGACUUAUGUUUUUAAUUUUUUUCAAAAAAUUUUCAAAUAAGACGAAUAAUUAAAGUUGAGCGCUGAAAACCAUGGCUGCACUUAUU